RNAcentral lists this ribosomal RNA (429 nucleotides) under Actinomycetes bacterium. Its description in RNAcentral is "Actinobacteria bacterium partial 16S ribosomal RNA". It matches the Rfam family "Bacterial small subunit ribosomal RNA", at positions 355 to 776 of the family's 1533-position model. Lineage: Bacteria; Bacillati; Actinomycetota; Actinomycetes. The record is from RNAcentral.
UAGGGAAUCUUCCGCAAUGGGCGAAAGCCUGACGGAGCAACGCCGCGUGAGUGAUGAAGGUCUUCGGAUCGUAAAACUCUGUUAUUAGGGAAGAACAAAUGUGUAAGUAACUAUGCACGUCUUGACGGUACCUAAUCAGAAAGCCACGGCUAACUACGUGCCAGCAGCCGCGGUAAUACGUAGGUGGCAAGCGUUAUCCGGAAUUAUUGGGCGUAAAGCGCGCGUGGGCGGUUUUUUAAGUCGGAUGUGAAAGCCCACGGCUCAACCGUGGAGGGUCAUUGGAAACUGGAAAACUUGAGUGCAGAAGAGGAAAGUGGAAUUCCAUGUGUAGCGGUGAAAUGCGCAGAGAUAUGGAGAAACACCAGUGGCGAAGGCGACUUUCUGGUCUGUAACUGACGCUGAUGUGCGAAAGCGUGGGGAUCAAACAGA